This 250-nucleotide ribosomal RNA is filed under the name uncultured bacterium. RNAcentral's name for it is "partial 16S ribosomal RNA". It matches the Rfam family "Bacterial small subunit ribosomal RNA", at positions 527 to 776 of the family's 1533-position model. The record is from RNAcentral.
GAAGGGGGCUAGCGUUGUUCGGAAUUACUGGGCGUAAAGCGCGCGCAGGUGGUCUUUCAAGUCAGUGGUGAAAGCCCGGAGCUCAACUCCGGAAAUGCCAUUGAAACUGUCAGACUUGAGGAUGAGAGAGGUGAGUGGAAUUCCCAGUGUAGAGGUGAAAUUCGUAGAUAUUGGGAAGAACACCGGUGGCGAAGGCGGCUCACUGGCUCAUAUCUGACGCUCAGGCGCGACAGCGUGGGGAUCAAACAGG